Long non-coding RNA from Manis pentadactyla (Chinese pangolin), 2457 nucleotides. RefSeq lists it as uncharacterized. The transcript has 3 exons. Lineage: Eukaryota; Metazoa; Chordata; Mammalia; Pholidota; Manidae. The record is from RefSeq and is a predicted model, not a curated record.
AGGAAUCCAGAAUCUUUAAAGUCAAAAGAAGAGGAGGGAUCAGAGAGCUGAAGCCAAUGGCAGAAGGUGGAACAAAAUCAAUCUGAUUAGUUUUAUUCCACUAGAGAACCAUCACCGAAAGUGCUGCUUCCAUGGAAUUUAAGAUGUAGUGACAUGACUACCUCCGUGCAGAAGACAAUGAGUGUGAGUAAAACACAUCGUCCCCGACCUUCCAUCUCUGACUUGCGCAGCCCAGGAGACAUGGCACAGAAGUACACGGCUACGAAGAAAAGAGGGCAACCCGACUCAUAUCAGAGGCAGCAUCAAAGACGAGCAAACUGUGCUGCCUUCAGACCCUGCACUUGCUUAUUGUGAUAGUUCGCACUGAUCACAUUAACUAAUACAGCACACGAGUACCAGAAUUUCUCCUAGUAAUUUGAGACCUUGUGAUAGGAAUGAUUCAACACAAUGCCAAGUUUUCUGAUAUAACUAAAGGAAAAUAUGUGAGGAUGUUAAUGACCACUUUUUUUUUCCUCCUUGUAAAAUUACAUGUGCAGCGCCCUAUGUAUAGGCUUAGAAAAAAUGUGAAGUAGAUUAAAUCAAGUUCUUUCUAAAAUAUAUACUUCUUAAGUAAUAUGAAUAUUUAUAAUUAAAUACUUUAAGAAUAUUUGUCCAGAAUUUCCUAUGCAAAUGUAAACUGGAAUUUAAAAAUUAUAUAAAAAUAACAAAUUAUCCAACUGUGAAGAAUUAUAAUAUUUUUAUAUUUUUGUUUGCUACCUAAAAAUAACACAGGUAAUCAUAGGCUUAGUGGAUGUGUUAAAAUAACCCACGUUUUAAUUUACAUACUAUUCAUUCCAAUUUCAUUUAUAUUUUACUUCCUGUAUUUCAUCACUCUCAUAUACUGAAAUACUAGUUUACCUCUCUAUUCUAACCUUAUAAGACCCUAUUCAUAUUCACAGAAGGAAAAAUUAAAUGAAAAAAAUCAUCCCUUCAAGAAACUGAAGCAUGACUAGAUUUAUAAUUGGCCAGUGUAAAGUUGAUACUCUGCUAAAUCAAGACUCUUCUGCUUCUUUUUUUUUUUUUUUGCUCUUUUCCUAGGACUCAGUGAAGACAAAACAGCAGCCUUAGUGCAGGGUCUCCUGAUCAUAACUGCAGUUGGAGAACUGUUUUCUGGCCUGAGCCCCUCCCCCGGCUCUCGCCAGCUUCCUUAAGAGCAUUUACUUAACCCUGAGCACGAGUCUGACUCGAGUACAUCCCUGUCUUGUUCUCACCAUUGGCUCUCCAAGCACAGGCCAUGCACUGCAAGGAACAGGAUCUUGGCAUCUCCACCUGCAUGCUGGCUGAGCCUCCACCUUUCCCUUCACUGGACCAGAUGCCUUCUAGCCUCACCCCUGGCUCUCCUGCUGGCAUCCCAGGCCUGUGCCGUGGCCCUGUGCUGCGCUCUAGGUUGUGCUGGCAUCUGAGGACACAUGCAGCCAUGUGGCCCAUCUGCCCUCCUGCAGGUGCCUGCGCACCGGCCAGCAAUGCCCCCAGGAUGGCCCUGCUCUGGGAUCCGGACCACAGGCCUCUCCAGUUUAGGCCUCCAAAUCCACCCAGGAAUUGAUGCUUAUCCCAGUUCUCCCAUACCUGUGCCUGUGACCCCUGGGGUUCAUUUAAAGUAAAAUGUCUUACCUCUCUUUUGAAAUUAUUUUCUCACUUCCCUCCAUAGGUCAAAUAAAGGUUUUUGACAACUCUUUCAUCACAGACAUAUUUUCCUGUCCUCUAAAUAAAAUAAACACUGUGCUCUGUGUCUUCAAGGCUUCACGUUAUUUAUGUAGAAAAUCAAGAGUAUAAUCUUCACAAAAGAAUGGUUUGUCCAAGUUCCUUGCAUUGCAAAUUCAAUGCACAUUGACUCUUAGUAAACACUAAGAACAAAUAGGUGUCAUCUAGACUAAAAACUGCUAAUACACAUUUUUAAAAUUUCAUUAGCUUCAAUGAAAAAUACUUUUCCUGUGGUAAUAAUUCAUAUUAUUUUAUUUUCUAGCAUAUAAUUCAUAUAUUCAAUUAUAUUACUCUGGCAUAUAAUUCUGGUAAAGAUUCAUAUUAUUUAUUUUCAUCAAAAUGGAAAAAGUUAAAACUUAAAUAUGUAUAAUCCUUUUACUUUAUAACCAAGAGUUUGCACCUUUUGACCACCUUCAUGUUUACAAAAGUUUUUUUAAAUAUAUCAUCAAAUUGAGUGAAAGAAUACAAAUUAAAAGAUUAAAAUUUUCAGCCAAAGAAACUAUAAAAUAAUAUAAUAUGCACUAAUUCAAUAAGUUGAAAUAAAAUUACAUAUCUAAUUAAAUUCACCCCAUUUUAUUUUAACUUAUAAGGCAUGUUUGUCAGUUUAAUUUGGUAUGUGUGGGCACUUCAUAAUUUUGUCUUUAUUGGAGAUUAGUAUGCAAAAUACAGAAAUAUAGAAAACUUCAACAAAAUAUUUUUUCAAUAAAAUUAAAUGUU